Non-coding RNA from Trichonephila clavipes, 64 nucleotides. Lineage: Eukaryota; Metazoa; Arthropoda; Arachnida; Araneae; Nephilidae. The record is from the annotation of a GenBank genome assembly.
GUCCCUAUAGCGCAUUGGUAGCGCGUUGGACUUCUAAUCCAAAGUUAAAAUCCUACUUAGGAUG